Long non-coding RNA from Mercenaria mercenaria, 1720 nucleotides. RefSeq lists it as uncharacterized. The transcript has 3 exons. NCBI's taxonomy places the organism in Eukaryota, Metazoa, Mollusca, Bivalvia, Venerida, Veneridae. The record is from RefSeq and is a predicted model, not a curated record.
AAGAAAAUCUUAAGCCUCUAAAAUAGCGCAAUUUUAUCUGAUGGCUGAACCAUACCUAUGUUUGGAGUCAGGGGCAAUAAAAAUGUCAAUGUAGAAACAACCUGCUGGAGUCACUUCAACAUAUUUAUGUAAAUAAGAACAAACAUAGGGACGGGAGCCAGUCUAUAGGAGUAGCUACAUUUUAGCCGUCCUGGGAUAAAGUGAGCUCUAACCGGUCAUAAAUCAUGUCAAUUAAAGAGUAUUUAUGUACACAAACCUGGAAAAGACGGCAAGGUUGACUAUAGCGUUGCUUCUUUGGUCAAUAUCGUGAAAUUUACAGCCUGCUUCCGGCGAUGAUUUAGGAUCAAAGUUACACACUUAUAUACUAGAUUAAUGGAAAUAAGUAACGCGCACUCAAACUUCAACGUAAUAGUGUGAAAAUGAAAUAAUUUGGAUACAAGGUGAGGCAUAAAAAUGUUAAAAAUUCAUGUAAUUUUUCUAAAAUAUUUUGAGUUUGAAAUGCUAUUGUAUUACACUAAAAUUCGUUUUAUUUUGUGUCGUGCAACUGUGAAUUAACGUCAUUCAAAUCUGGUUAGUAUAAAAGCAAAUCAACUUAAUUUUUGUUGAACAGGUAUUAGGACAUAUUUAUUUAUUCAGUAUUCUAGAAUUUCCCAGUAAUGUAAGUCCAUUGUACCACUUAUAAUUAAUACAUGUAUUUUGUAGAGAAGUUGACGAUACUGUAUAUUAUGUUGUCUAGGUUUUCAAAAUCAGAAACGAAGCAAGAAGAACUUUUCUGAGGCUUAAGUGUUGGAGUUCAGUUGUGAUUGUCAUGCCCUAGGAUAUGCUAAUGGAUUGAUGGAGAAGUAUAUUGAUUCUGUUUCAUUGCAUUUUUUUAGAAAUGUUUACAAAUAUUUCAUUUUCUACAGAUUUUUAUGACAUGUGUUUGACGAGUAAAUUUAGUAGUUCUGAAACUUAUUAAUUCCCACUGCUUACAUUUUUUUUAUUUCUGGUUUUGAACAAUAUUAUACCUGAAGCGAUUACUUUACUAAAUACACAAAUUAUUAAUACUUAUCACAAAAAGACCUCAUUGCGUUUCCCACACAUUUUUACUUGAGUCUGAAAAUUAUUUAAUAUUACAUGGUCAUUUAUUUUUUCUGGGAAAUAUGUAUUUUUUAAAUUUGUUAUUUGCAGUCUGCAAUGUAUAUUUGUUUGAUUUUUUUAUUAUUUUGCCGUUUCAACAGUAUUUCAUAUAAGUAGAACUUCACAUACAUGUAUAAGUUUAAUUUCAUUUUUAAACUUUCCUAGUCAAGUUUCUAUUUGAAAAAAAAAAUUUUAAAAAUGAAAAAUUACAGAAAAGACUAUUGAAUUCUUUUACCCGGCCCGCCACUUAGUACACAUUUAAUUGAUUAUUCCGCAUGGCUGCAUUUGUUCAAAUAGGAAAUUUUGCGCCAAUGUCUGUUUUCCGUUUAUUUUUUAAUAGGUUGCGCGUUUUGUUUUUCAGGAACGUCUGGAUUCAGAUACAGAAAGUUUCAUGGCAGACAUGUACUCAUUUAAAGCAAGUGAAAACCUUGAAAAGUACGAACAACUAAACCAAGAAUUAGGAUACACAUCAUGGGAUAUUGACGUCAGUGGAAACAAAAUGUUUGUACUAGUUGAUCGCAGGAAUAUUAAUGACAAAGUUAAAAGACAUUCAGUGAUAGGGAUGAAGUGGAGGCCUUAUCGAUAAACAAAGAGUCCCCAG